GCACCCUUAGCUCAGUUGGUAGAGCAACUGACUCUUAAGCAGUGGGUCCAGGGUGCGAAUCCCUGAGGGUGUA
Molecule: transfer RNA, 73 nt
Filed under: Phocaeicola sp.
Lineage: Bacteria; Pseudomonadati; Bacteroidota; Bacteroidia; Bacteroidales; Bacteroidaceae
Description: tRNA-Lys
Rfam family: tRNA
About the family: Transfer RNA (tRNA) molecules are approximately 80 nucleotides in length.
Source: RNAcentral